GAUGAACGCUGGCGGCGUGCCUAAUACAUGCAAGUCGAGCGAACAGAUGAGGAGCUUGCUCCUCUGACGUUAGCGGCGGACGGGUGAGUAACACGUGGAUAACCUACCUAUAAGACUGGGAUAGCUUCGGGAAACCGGAGCUAAUACCGGAUAAUAUAUUGAACCGCAUGGUUCAAUAGUGAAAGACGGUUUUGCUGUCACUUAUAGAUGGAUCCGCGCCGCAUUAGCUAGUUGGUAAGGUAACGGCUUACCAAGGCAACGAUGCGUAGCCGACCUGAGAGGGUGAUCGGCCACACUGGAACUGAGACACGGUCCAGACUCCUACGGGAGGCAGCAGUAGGGAAUCUUCCGCAAUGGGCGAAAGCCUGACGGAGCAACGCCGCGUGAGUGACGAAGGUCUUCGGAUCGUAAAACUCUGUUAUUAGGGAAGAACAAAUGUGUAAGUAACUAUGCACGUCUUGACGGUACCUAAUCAGAAAGCCACGGCUAACUACGUG
RNAcentral lists this ribosomal RNA (497 nucleotides) under uncultured bacterium. Its description in RNAcentral is "partial 16S ribosomal RNA". It matches the Rfam family "Bacterial small subunit ribosomal RNA", at positions 28 to 507 of the family's 1533-position model. The record is from RNAcentral.